AAGUCGUAACAAGGUUCCCUUCUGCAGCGCAGCUCCGGAGACCUUGCACCCCGAACGGGAGGCAGCACGACGAUAAACAAAGCUCGCCGCGUGCAAGUUCCCGUAUGGUCAGCAACACGAUCGAAUUGACGGGGACCUCCUAAAGCCUGCAACACCAACCGUCCGGGGAAACUCGGGCGGGGCCCUCACGGGGUGGUAAGAGAGUGCAGGAUGAACAAUGGACGAUCCGCAGCGAAGACCCUACCGGUGAGAGCCCACGGGUACCGUUCACAGACUAAGUGAUUGUGGGCGGGGCAUCAGGCCCCGUCUAAGAUAUAGUCGGUCUUUGUCCGAAAGGGCAGAGCCUAGCGCGUCCGUAGGUGAACCUGCGGAAGGAUCAUUAAAGAAUCGCCCCGUUUUUUGAAAUGGGUUCUAUUCCCAAACCGUGUAUACAUACCUUUGUUGCUUUGGCAGGCCGUCUUUCAGGCGUCGGCUCCGGCUGACUGCGCUUGCCAGAGGACCCAAACUCGUUUGUUUAGUGAUGUCUGGGUACUAUAUAAUAGUUAAAA
This 548-nucleotide non-coding RNA is filed under the name plant metagenome. RNAcentral's name for it is "partial contains small subunit ribosomal RNA and internal transcribed spacer 1". The stretch from base 65 to 342 matches the Rfam family "Group I catalytic intron". Rfam says of the family: Group I catalytic introns are large self-splicing ribozymes. They catalyse their own excision from mRNA, tRNA and rRNA precursors in a wide range of organisms. The record is from RNAcentral.